This is a long non-coding RNA of Rosa chinensis, 1133 nucleotides long. RefSeq lists it as uncharacterized. The record is from RefSeq and is a predicted model, not a curated record. Lineage: Eukaryota; Viridiplantae; Streptophyta; Magnoliopsida; Rosales; Rosaceae. The transcript has 5 exons.
CAUUCAAUCCUCAGCUAAGUAACAGAACGCUGAAUAGUGAACACUACAGCAGCAACAACAACAACAACAAAACACACACACACUUGUUCUCUCGUCCUUCUGGGUUUUGAGAUAUCUUCUGCGAGUUCCUUCCUCUUUCUUCUUCGCACAAAUAAAUCCAACAAGUCAUGGCCGGCGCCAUUGCAAGUCGAUCUGCGAUUCUUCUUUUGGUCGAAACCAACUCAGAUCCAAAAUCUCUUCUCAUAAGAGUGGAUCUUGCAAUCGAUCUGGCUAUUCAAUUUGUUCAAUAUUUUCAACCAAUGAAACCCAGUCUCAUUUCAACAAAAUCCUCCGUGCAGAUCUGAAUAGUGUCUUCAACCAAGCCGACAUGUCGUCAGUCUCCGUCUCAUGUAUUGCAUGGCAAUGCAACUGAUUUGUUAAGGUAUAAUUGGGAUGGGCUACUAGAUGGACGUGAGUUGGACACUGGAAGGUUUAAGCAUUCAUUCGAAGCAACAGUUGAUGAUUCUUAUCACUUUGAAAUUUUGAAAUGGUAGAAGAGGUGAUAACAAAUGGUAGCAGCCCAAAUGAGGUGCAGGCAAAUGGUAUGGCAGCAUACUUUGUGACAUUGACUAUGUGUCUUGGCCCUUGGUGUGGCAAAAUAUACUUGCUUGACAUACUUUCUCCAUCAAAUGGUAUGGCAGAAUAUUACUUGUGCGACAGUUUCUUUUGGAGAUCAGACAUAUAUAAGUCAUCCAUGGAGGAGAGGAGGAAAUUGCAGAUACCAUGCCUAGAAUUAAAACUGCCAAGAAUUGUUAUUUUCACAAAAUUGAAUUUGUAUAUUAAUUUUUUUUUUAAUAUGAAAUAUUGCAGUCACCAUUUGCUAGGUAGUGUGUUUUCUGGUGAUGGGGCCCACAGUUUGGAAGUCACCAAAAAAGUGAUAAUGUCUUUUUGAGUCUUUGUCAUGCUAGCAAUGCCCACGCUUCCUUAAUUAGUGUCUACAGGGGUGUCUAUUGGUUUUACACACCAAUCACGUUUGUCUUUUACUUCAAUCCACACCAUUCGCAAUGGUGUUUUUUGUUCAGUUUUGUUGUAGUGGAUGUUGGUCUAUUGGGUGGGUUUCAAAUACAAUAAAUAAACUAUAAAUUUGGUAGAAA